This 217-nucleotide unclassified non-coding RNA is filed under the name uncultured Thelephoraceae. Its description in RNAcentral is "sequence contains ITS2". Lineage: Eukaryota; Fungi; Basidiomycota; Agaricomycetes; Thelephorales; Thelephoraceae. The record is from RNAcentral.
ACACCUCAACUCUCAUGGUUUGCCAUGAUGAGCUUGGACUUUGGGGGUCUUGUUGGCCACAAGCCAGCUCCUCUUAAAUGGAUCAGCUUGCCAGUGUUUGGUGGAGUCACGGGUGUGAUAACUAUCUACGCUUGUGGUUUCCCAUCAGAUAACCUUCAGCGAUGGAGGUUCGCUGGGGCUUAUAAAUGUCUCUCCUCGGUGAGGGCAGAUUUUGACC